This 713-nucleotide long non-coding RNA is filed under the name Marmota monax (woodchuck). Lineage: Eukaryota; Metazoa; Chordata; Mammalia; Rodentia; Sciuridae. The record is from RNAcentral.
CACAGAAUGGAACAGGCAAAACUAGUUUCAGUCACAAAGGACAGCAUGUAGACCUACUGUUCACACCAGAUUCAUUACCAUCCACCCUAACACAGUGCCCCAGUAGAAUUCCCACCCAGCAGCGCCAUCUUGGUUGGGUUGCUUCCCACCCAGACUAGAACUGGCCUACAUAAAGGAUCAGAGGAAGGCAGUUCCGUGUCCCCAAGGUAGACCCAACCCCCUUUCUGGAAAAGUCAUGAAUAAUCCUCCUACUGGUUAUCUAAAAUUCUGCCCUCACCCUCAUGAGGACCCACCCUUUGUUUAGGUUGAAAAGCUGAUCUAUGAGUUUGUCUCCCUGCUUCUGUUCUCCAGCCAAAAAGACACAUUUCUUGUCUGCUCAAACAGCACUGGAUCUUGUCAUUGGUUCCAAAUUCCAAGAGGGAAAAUGGAUCCAGUUUGGUGUAAGAAAUUGGUAACAUGAGCAAAUGAAGAUUUGCACCAAAUGUUUAUUACUAUUCCAUCAGCUGCCUGUCAUGUUGGAUUUUCUGGAAAUGCUACAGAAUAAGAAUUGGGACUCUUUCCUCUUUGAGGCAAUAGAAAGGAAGCAAUCAAUGUAUCUCUGACCUGUAAAAAGAGAAUGGUGAAUAAAACCAACCUUUCCCAACAGAAAGCCACAGGUAGGGAGGGGCCAUAAACCUGGACAGGCAAAUUGGAAGGGUGAGGAGGAAGUCAGG